This 1811-nucleotide long non-coding RNA is filed under the name Scophthalmus maximus (turbot). Its description in RNAcentral is "lncRNA (ENSSMAG00000027363.1)". The record is from RNAcentral. Lineage: Eukaryota; Metazoa; Chordata; Actinopteri; Pleuronectiformes; Scophthalmidae.
GGGGAGUAAAAUCCUGGAUGGCCAAAAGCAAAGAAGCAACUCGUGGCUUUGGUGAUGUUGUAGCCCGGAAUACCGACCAAUCCGCAAGCUCCUGUUUAUUCAGUCUCGCACGAUGGGGUCUGGCCGUCGCCCCAUUCAGACUGAUUUAUCAUCCAGCUUUUUAUUGAAAAGCGUUUGAUAUGAGAUAUGAUAUUGCUGACACUGACGUGGACAUCAGGUGUGUCGAAUCUGCUGUCGAGACCAAAGAUAUGUACUUUACUCUCAUAGAGGAGCAAAAGAAACCAGAAAAUAUUCACAUUUAAGAAGCUAAAAUCAGAGAAUUUGGAUUUUCCCCCAAUCAAAACCAAUUCAUUAAAUAUAGUUGGCGAUUAAUUUAGUCGUUGAUGAUUUAUUGAUUAAUCGAUUAACUGUAGCAGCUCUAAUUCCAGACCUUGAGCACCUCAGGUAAUUACGGAUGUUCCUUGAAUGCAUCACCUGCCCAGGUAGCGCUGCUGCACACAAGUAAUUCUUUUUUUUCUUUCUACGCAGCUGAGAAACUCCGUCGAGCGGGUUUUUUUCUCCUGGAUAUUGCGGAUAAUCCUGUCGUGCUGCGGGUGGUGGAUGGUGAUGUCAACUCACCUGGAUACUGAUCCCGUGGACCAGAGGAGUGGUGGGAGAGGAACCACUUUUCACGACAUAAGCAGCUGUGGGGCUUUUAUGGAAAAAUGUCCCCACUUUUCCGACCUUCCCCCAGGAGGCAGGAUACCUGGUUGAGUGAGACUGCCUUCCUGACUGAGAGCACCACUCAAAGAAUCCAGACUGUGGCUCCAAUCCAGUUGCCCUCUUUAAUAGAUUCACAGUGUUAUAUUAGAAGUAAGAAGAUUGAGGCUGCGGUCACAGCGGUAUUUCAACUUGAAUGGCACUCAGUAAAGCACAUAUGCCUCUGCCAAGGCCCAACAGUCCCUCAAUCAAGUCGCACCAAAUUGCACACACUCAUAAAAAUCAGUCUCUUGAAUAUUGCCAGAUUUUGUUUCCCCCAUCAAGAUCCCUGGGAAAUUGGUGAAAAUGUACAAUAAAAAUCAGCACAAAAAUGUAAUGUUUUUAUUUCUUGGCCCAUGUCCCAUCAAGUUUCGUGGAAAUCUUUUCAGUUGUUUUUGCAUCGAACAAACGGGAAAACAAGGGCGGCAACCUCCUCAGUUGACGUGAUAACAAGAAAUUUCUGCCUGACAUAAUCACUUAAUUUGGACGGAAUAGUGGCAAUCGGUUGAUUUGUUCCAUCGGUCAUUACAAUCCUUCUUGAAAGUGCUGAAAAAGAAGAAAGAAAAAAAUAAAUAAAGGAAGGAAGGAAGCCAUCGUACCAGCACUAAAACAUCUUUUUUUUUAGGAGAUCGUGUGUUUUAUAAUCCACCCACCUUCGUAUUCUUGCUCUGGUUUAAUGUUGUAUGUAAUGUUGCACUAUUCUUUUCUUCCUGGUCCAUGAGAAACAACAUUUCAUGCAGCCGUUCACUUUGUGUGAGGAUGAAUGACAGUGAAGUUAACUUGACUUUAGUUGAAGGGUUUGAGUUUGAAAAUAGAGUAGAACCCCCGUAAAUAGUCAGCGUGUCACCGACAAGCAGCACCACGAGGAUGGACUAAUGAACUUUCUGGUUUGCUAUACUUAAGAGCGCUGGCAUCAUAAUUUAAACACAUUCACGACAAAGCAAUCGAUCAGAGAUGCACCAAAAAGAAACGAAACAAAAUUGAUAACAAAAUCAAAAGAUUAAAAGACGAAUUUGCUACUGGCCCCAGAUGAAUAGCGCUCACAAACUUUGUUCCACGACCGCUGUAGUAAA